Molecule: long non-coding RNA, 788 nt
Organism: Scatophagus argus
Lineage: Eukaryota; Metazoa; Chordata; Actinopteri; Scatophagidae
Exons: 3
Source: RefSeq, a predicted model, not a curated record
UCAGAGCAGUUUGCUUACCAAUUAAUGUUCAGUUUCUUGUGAUUUUGCCAGAAAGCUUGUAGUUCAGUUAAUAAACAUCGCUGUUUCCCGUUUCUUAUGUAACACAACAAGUAUUUUCCCCCGCCAAUAAACAUAUUUUCCACAGCAUCGCAGUCAAUACAGAGCUAGUUAAACAGCAGGCGGACUGUUGUUUACAGCUCCACCUGCGCCUGUUGAUUGUCUUUUCAAUGACUUCCAGUUACGGAGGAGGAAGCUCAUGAGAGCUCAGACUUUGACCCCCAGUCGAACCGCUGGACUUCAGAGAGGAGGAAGUCAUUCAGGGGCCCCUGGAAUACGCAACGUCAUCAUCAGAGUUCUUCCGGGCUUCUCAGAACUAUGAAGGAGGAAAGACACUACCUACAGCUAACCCUAUACACAGGCUGACUUCAUCCAAACAACAACCAUAAACAGGUUCUCUCUUAUACUUUGAGGUACCUCACCACACAGAUUGGCCUAGAGUUCACUUCUGAAUUGUGUCCCUCCUUCUCGGUGCUAUGAAGGCAAAGGGAAUGUGAUGCUGAGUGUCAUUUCCAUGGUCAGAAUCCAGAUGAGAGAAGAUAAAAAUGUUGAUGUGAUUAUCUGUGUCAUUGUCAUGCUGUCCCUGCAAUAAGUUUUGCCAACAGCAGCAGUCAAUCUUCCUGCUGGACAUAUGGUGUGAAAGAGAGACCUGCAGGCUCUACUAAGGGCUGAAAGAACAUUCAGUUUCAACAGGCAGAGUGAACACAAGUAGGAAGUUAUGUAAACAGCCU